Molecule: ribosomal RNA, 253 nt
Filed under: uncultured bacterium
Lineage: Bacteria
Description: partial 16S ribosomal RNA
Rfam family: Bacterial small subunit ribosomal RNA
Source: RNAcentral
UACGAAGGGGGCUAGCGUUGCUCGGAAUCACUGGGCGUAAAGCGCACGUAGGCGGCUCUUUAAGUCAGGGGUGAAAUCCUGGAGCUCAACUCCAGAACUGCCUUCGAUACUGGCGAUCUCGAGUUCGGGAGAGGUGAGUGGAACUGCGAGUGUAGAGGUGAAAUUCGUAGAUAUUCGCAAGAACACCAGUGGCGAAGGCGGCGAUCUGGGCUGAUACUGACGCUGAGGUGCGAAAGCGUGGGGAGCAAACAGG